GGGGAAUAUUGCACAAUGGGCGAAAGCCUGAUGCAGCAACGCCGCGUGAGUGAUGAAGGCCUUCGGGUCGUAAAACUCUGUCCUUGGUGACGAAAAAAAAUGACGGUAGCCAAGGAGGAAGCCCCGGCUAACUACGUGCCAGCAGCCGCGGUAAUACGUAGGGGACAAGCGUUGUCCGGAUUUACUGGGCGUAAAGGGCACGCAGGCGGUUUUUUAAGUCAGAUGUGAAAGGUACCGGCUCAACCGGUAACAUGCAUUUGAAACUGAAAGACUUGAGUAUUGGAGAGGCAAGUGGAAUUCCUAGUGUAGCGGUGAAAUGCGUAGAUAUUAGGAGGAACACCGGUGGCGAAGGCGGCUUGCUGGACAAAUACUGACGCUGAGGUGCGAAAGCGUGGGGAGCAAACA
RNAcentral lists this ribosomal RNA (405 nucleotides) under uncultured Eubacteriales bacterium. Its description in RNAcentral is "bacterial SSU rRNA". It matches the Rfam family "Bacterial small subunit ribosomal RNA", at positions 356 to 774 of the family's 1533-position model. The record is from RNAcentral. Lineage: Bacteria; Bacillati; Bacillota; Clostridia; Eubacteriales.